AAAUUCUCAACGAUGGAUAUCUAGGUUCCCGUAACGAUGAAGAACGCAGCGAAGUGCGAUAAGCAAUGCGAAUUGCAGAACCGUGAGUCAUCAGAUUUUUGAACGCAAUU
Molecule: ribosomal RNA, 110 nt
Filed under: Pseudokeronopsis carnea
Lineage: Eukaryota; Ciliophora; Spirotrichea; Urostylida; Pseudokeronopsidae
Description: 5.8S ribosomal RNA
Rfam family: 5.8S ribosomal RNA
About the family: 5.8S ribosomal RNA (5.8S rRNA) is a component of the large subunit of the eukaryotic ribosome. It is transcribed by RNA polymerase I as part of the 45S precursor that also contains 18S and 28S rRNA.
Source: RNAcentral